GUAGGUGAACCUGCGGAAGGAUCAUUACCAAAUCCAAAACUCUUAUAAACCCACUUUGUGCACUGAGAAACCGAAUCUUUACCCUUUCUCACUUUCAAUCUUUGGAGAAAGAAAGAGAGAGAGAGAAACAAUAACAAAACACUCUGGUCUUUUCUUCACAGAAGAGAACAGUCUCCCUUUUGUUUUUUCGCUCUCUUUUCUUUCCUUCUUUCUUCGAGGAGAGAAAGGGUAAGGAGUUUUCUUCUUCUUU
Molecule: unclassified non-coding RNA, 250 nt
Filed under: plant metagenome
Description: partial contains small subunit ribosomal RNA, internal transcribed spacer 1, and 5.8S ribosomal RNA
Source: RNAcentral